UCCGGUUUAACACCGGCAGUUUCCUUAGAGUGCUCAACUAAAUGGUAGCAACUAAGGAUGAGGGUUGCGCUCGUUGCGGGACUUAACCCAACAUCUCACGACACGAGCUGACGACAGCCAUGCAGCACCUGUGUGGUAGCCAGCCAAACUGAAGUAAUCCAUCUCUGGAAAACAUACUACCCAUGUCAAGGCCUGGUAAGGUUCUUCGCGUUGCCUCGAAUUAAACCACAUGCUCCACCGCUUGUGCGGGUCCCCGUCAAUUCCUUUGAGUUUUAAUCUUGCGACCGUACUCCCCAGGCGGAAUGCUUAGCGCGUUAACUACGUCACUGAAACCUAAAGGUCCCAACAACUAGCAUUCAUCGUUUACAGCGUGGACUAC
This 379-nucleotide unclassified non-coding RNA is filed under the name uncultured Rickettsiales bacterium. RNAcentral's name for it is "contains 16S-23S intergenic spacer region". Lineage: Bacteria; Pseudomonadati; Pseudomonadota; Alphaproteobacteria; Rickettsiales. The record is from RNAcentral.